UAUCCGUAGGUGAACCUGCGGAUGGAUCAUUCAUAAUAAAUGUAUCAUAGCUCUUGUGUAAACACUUAUCUACCUUGGUUGCAAUGUGGGGUGUGGUUUUGCUCUUCGGAGCAGCACACCCAAACAGCAAAUAUACCAUAACUGUUUGUUUUAUAAUUAUUAUGAAUAAUACAAUUCUAAAGACAACUUUCUAUAACGUAUCGCUUGGCUCUCGAAUCGAUGAAGUAAGAAGCAGACCGGAAUGGCAAACGGCUACACGCCAGUCACUACUUUCUUUUU
This 279-nucleotide unclassified non-coding RNA is filed under the name plant metagenome. RNAcentral's name for it is "partial contains small subunit ribosomal RNA, internal transcribed spacer 1, and 5.8S ribosomal RNA". The record is from RNAcentral.